CAUGCAUGUCUCAGUACAAGCCAAAUUAAGGUGAAACCGCGAAAGGCUCAUUAAAUCAGUUAUGGUUCCUUAGAUCGUACCCACAUUUACUUGGAUAACUGUGGUAAUUCUAGAGCUAAUACAUGCAAACAGAGUCCCGACCCGAGAGGGAAGGGGCGCUUUUAUUAGAUCAAAACCGAUCGGCGGGCGUCCGCGCCCGUCGCAAAUACUGGUGAAUCUGAAUAACUUUUGCAGAUCGCACGGUCUCGCACCGGCGACGCAUCUUUCAAAUGUCUGCCUUAUCAACUGUCGAUGGUAGGUUCUGCGCCUACCAUGGUCGUAACGGGUAACGGGGAAUCAGGGUUCGAUUCCGGAGAGGGAGCCUGAGAAACGGCUACCACAUCCAAGGAAGGCAGCAGGCGCGCAAAUUACCCACUCCCGGCACGGGGAGGUAGUGACGAAAAAUAACGAUACCGGACUCAUCCGAGGCCCGGUAAUCGGAAUGAGUACACUUUAAAUCCUUUAACGAGGAUCAAUUGGAGGGCAAGUCUGGUGCCAGCAGCCGCGGUAAUUCCAGCUUCAAUAGCGUAUAUUAAAGUUGUUGCGGUUAAAAAGCUUGUAGUUGAAUCUGUGUCCCGCUCUGUCGGUUCACCGCUCGCGCGGUGUUUAACUGGCAUUGACGCGGGACGUCCUGCCGGCGGGCGCGGCUUGUCGCGGGUCCACACGGUGCGGUGCGUGCGACGUCCGUUCUCGGUUCUUUCAACGGGGCCGGCGGGGUCGCGUCGUGCGUGCUCGCCGUUCGCGGCGGCGGCCCGGUCUCGCGGUCCGUCGCGUGCGAAAGCGCGCGCGUCGCGAGACGCWCCUGUCGCGGUGCUCUUAACCGAGUGUCGAGGCGGGCCGGCACGUUUACUUUGAACAAAUUAGAGUGCUCAAAGCAGGCUUGUUAUACGCCUGAAUAGUGUGCGCAUGGAAUAAUGGAAUAGGACCUCGGUUCUAUUUUGUUGGUUUUCGGAAUUUCCGAGGUAAUGAUUAAUAGGGACAGGUGGGGGCAUUCGUAUUGCGACGUUAGAGGUGAAAUUCUUGGAUCGUCGCAAGACGGACAGAAGCGAAAGCAUUUGCCAAAGAUGUUUUCAUUAAUCAAGAACGAAAGUUAGAGGUUCGAAGGCGAUCAGAUACCGCCCUAGUUCUAACCAUAAACGAUGCCAGCUAGCGAUCCGCCGACGUUCCUCCGAUGACUCGGCGGGCAGCUUCCGGGAAACCAAAGCUUUUCGGUUCCGGGGGAAGUAUGGUUGCAAAGCUGAAACUUAAAGGAAUUGACGGAAGGGCACCACCAGGAGUGGAGCCUGCGGCUUAAUUUGACUCAACACGGGAAAUCUCACCAGGCCCGGACACCGGAAGGAUUGACAGAUUGAGAGCUCUUUCUUGAUUCGGUGGGUGGUGGUGCAUGGCCGUUCUUAGUUGGUGGAGCGAUUUGUCUGGUUAAUUCCGAUAACGAACGAGACUCUAGCCUGCUAACUAGGCGUAAGCUUCACUUUUCCGGUAUCCCGAAGGCCCGGCCGGUCGUCCGCAGCGUCGUCGCGUUAACGCGCGGCGGCCUCGGCGAUUCGCGUCGCGGUUUUUCGCUACCGGCGUUUAUACAAAUCUUCUUAGAGGGACAGGCGGCUCUCAGCCGCACGAGAUUGAGCAAUAACAGGUCUGUGAUGCCCUUAGAUGUCCUGGGCCGCACGCGCGCUACACUGAAGGAAGCAGCGUGUAGCUCCCUGGCCGAAAGGUCCGGGUAACCCGCUGAAACUCCUUCGUGCUAGGGAUCGGGGCUUGCAAUUAUUCCCCGUGAACGAGGAAUUCCCAGUAAGCGCGAGUCAUAAGCUCGCGUUGAUUACGUCCCUGCCCUUUGUACACACCGCCCGUCGCUACUACCGAUUGAAUGAUUUAGUGAGGUCUUCGGACCGUCGCUCGGCGACGUUCCGACGCUGCCGUAGUCGAUGGAAAGAUGACCGAACUUGAUCAUUUAGAGGAAGUAAAAGUCGUAACAAGGUUUCCGU
This 2021-nucleotide ribosomal RNA is filed under the name Lepicerus sp. BT0106. Its description in RNAcentral is "SSU rRNA". It matches the Rfam family "Eukaryotic small subunit ribosomal RNA". The record is from RNAcentral. Lineage: Eukaryota; Metazoa; Arthropoda; Insecta; Coleoptera; Lepiceridae.